Molecule: ribosomal RNA, 1389 nt
Filed under: uncultured bacterium
Lineage: Bacteria
Description: bacterial SSU rRNA
Rfam family: Bacterial small subunit ribosomal RNA
Source: RNAcentral
UUCUCCCUUAGAGUUUGAUGGUGGCUCAAGAUGAACGCUGACACAAUGCUUAACACAUGCAAGUCAACUUGAAUUUGGGUUUUUAACUUACGUUUGGGUGGCGGAGGGGUGAGUAACUCGUAAAGAACUUGCCGCACAGCGAGGGACAACAUUUGGAAACGAAUGCUAAUACCUAAUAUUAUGAUAAGAAGGCAUCCUAUAAUUAUGAAACCUAUAAGCGCUGUGAGAGAGCUUUGCGUCCCAUUAGCUAGUUGGAGAGGUAACGGCUCACCAAGGCGAUGAUGGGUAGCCAGCCUGAGAGGGUGAUCGGCCACAAGGGGACUGAGACACAGCCCUUACUCCUACGGGAGGCAGCAGUGGGGAAUAUUGGACGAUGGACCAAGACUCUGAUCCAGCAAUUCUGUGUGCACGAUGAUGUUUUUCGGAAUGUAUAGUGCUUUCAGUUGGGAAGAGAGAAAUGACGGUACCAACAAAAGACGUGACCGCUAAAUACGUGCCAGCAGCCGCGGUAAUACGUAUGUCCCCGAGCGUUAUCCAGAUUUAUUGGGCGUAAAAGCGCGUCUAGGUGGUUAUGUGAGUCUGAUGUGAAAAUGCAGGGCUCAACUCUGUAUUGCGUUGGAAACUGUAUAACUAGAGUUACUGGAGAGGUAAGCGGAACUACAAGUGUAGAGGUGAAAUUCGUAGAUAUUUGUAGGAAUGCCGAUGGGGAAGCCAGCUUACUGGACAGAUACUGACGCUGAAGCGCGAAAGCGUGGGUAGCAAACAGGAUUAGAUACCCUGGUAGUCCACGCCGUAAACGAUGAUUACUAGGUGUUGGGGGUCGAACCUCAGCGCCCAAGCAAACGCGAUAAGUAAUCCGCCUGGGGAGUACGUACGCAAGUAUGAAACUCAAGGGAAUUGACGGGGACCCGCACAAGCGGUGGAGCAUGUGGUUUAAUUCGACGCAACGCGAGGAACCUUACCAGCGUUUGACAUCUUAGGAGUGAGAUAGAGAUAUUUCAGUGUCCCUUCGGGGAAACCUAAAGACAGGUGGUGCAUGGCUGUCGUCAGCUCGUGUCGUGAGAUGUUGGGUUAAGUCCCGCAACGAGCGCAACCCCUUUCGUAUGUUACCAUCAUUAAGUUGGGGACUCAUGCGAUACUGCCUGCGAUGAGCAGGAGGAAGGUGGGGAUGACGUCAAGUCAUCAUGCCCCUUAUACGCUGGGCUACACACGUGCUACAAUGGGUAGAACAGAGAGUCGCAAAGCUGUGAAGUGGGGCUAAUCUCAGAAAACUAUUCUUAGUUCGGAUUGUACUCUGCAACUCGAGUACAUGAAGUUGGGAUCGCUAGUAAUCGCGAAUCAGCAAUGUCGCGGUGAAUACGUUCUCGGGUCUUGUACACACCGCCCGUC